CGGCCGUAAACUAUGCUCGCUAGGUGUCAGGCAUGGCGCGACCGUGUCUGGUGCCGCAGGGAAGCCGUGAAGCGAGCCACCUGGGAAGUACGGCCGCAAGGCUGAAACUUAAGGAAUUGGCGGGAGCACAACAACGGGUGGAGCCUGCGGUUUAAUUGGACUCAACGCCGGACAACUCACCGGGGACGGACAGCAAUAUGUAGGCCAGGCUGAAGACCUUGCCUGAAUCGCUGAGAGGAGGUGCAUGGCGUAGACGUCU
RNAcentral lists this ribosomal RNA (259 nucleotides) under uncultured archaeon. RNAcentral's name for it is "partial 16S ribosomal RNA". It matches the Rfam family "Archaeal small subunit ribosomal RNA", at positions 748 to 1009 of the family's 1478-position model. The record is from RNAcentral.